UUUUGACCGCAGAAUAAACCAAGCAUGUAAAAUUGAGAACGUACUUUUCUACUGAUUCUACCUCCAACACUUCUACUUUCUCUCGCUGAGUAUUGUAAAUAUUGUUGUCGUCUCUCAAAAUCGUAAUAUUACUUGAUUUCUUUCUGAAAAGAAGAUUUGUCAAUAUUAAACAAGCAUAUAGCGCCAAUUACCAAACCGCUGCCCAAUAGCAUAAUAAGCAUGAUACAAAUGAGAAAUGUUUACAGAAGAAAUUGGAAAACAUUUAGAGAUUUAAACGAUUAUUAUGCAAUGUCACGAUUUAACAAAUAUGUGCAUAUGUAUGUGUGUACGUCACAUAAGGCUGCAACUUUUGUUGUUGUUUUUUGUUUUUUUUAUUUUUUUUUAAUUACUUUUAUACACAGUGGGACCUCGAUUUUCCGUGAUGGUCGGGACCGGAAGCAUUCUGUAUAAUCGAUUUUCCCGGUUAAUUAAGUGCCAACUUUUUCUACAUUUUUAAUAGAUAUUUUUAUUUAUUAAUAAAUGAAUAUGUACAUAUUUAUAUAAAAAUGAAAUAAAAAAUCCUUGAAGAUUUUGUA
Molecule: long non-coding RNA, 575 nt
Organism: Lucilia cuprina (Australian sheep blowfly)
Lineage: Eukaryota; Metazoa; Arthropoda; Insecta; Diptera; Calliphoridae
Exons: 3
Source: RefSeq, a predicted model, not a curated record